AGCGUGCGAUUGGAUUGCACGUCUAAGCAGUAAGGCUGAGUAUUAGGCAAAUCCGGUACUCAUUAAGGCUGAGCUGUGAUGGGGAGAAGACAUUGUGUCUUCGAGUCGUUGAUUUCACACUGCCGAGAAAACCCUCUAGAUAGAAAAUAGGUGCCCGUACCGCAAACCGACACAGGUAGUCAAGAUGAGAAUUCUAAGGUGAGCGAGCGAACUCUCGUUAAGGAACUCGGCAAAAUGACCCCGUAACUUCGGGAGAAGGGGUGCUCUUUAGGGUUAACGCCCAGAAGAGCCGCAGUGAAUAGGCCCAAGCGACUGUUUAUCAAAAACACAGGUCUCUGCUAAACCGUAAGGUGAUGUAUAGGGGCUGACGCCUGCCCGGUGCUGGAAGGUUAAGAGGAGUGGUUAGCUUCUGCGAAGCUACGAAUCGAAGCCCCAGUAAACGGCGGCCGUAACUAUAACGGUCCUAAGGUAGCGAAAUUCCUUGUCGGGUAAGUUCCGACCCGCACGAAAGGCGUAACGAUUUGGGCACUGUCUCAACGAGAGACUCGGUGAAAUCAUAGUACCUGUGAAGAUGCAGGUUACCCGCGACAGGACGGAAAGACCCCGUGGAGCUUUACUGUAGCCUGAUAUUGAAAUUCGGCACAGCUUGUACAGGAUAGGUAGGAGCCUUUGAAACGUGAGCGCUAGCUUACGUGGAGGCGCUGGUGGGAUACUACCCUAGCUGUGUUGGCUUUCUAACCCGCACCACUUAUCGUGGUGGGAGACAGUGUCAGGCGGGCAGUUUGACUGGGGCGGUCGCCUCCUAAAAGGUAACGGAGGCGCUCAAAGGUUCCCUCAGAAUGGUUGGAAAUCAUUCAUAGAGUGUAAAGGCAUAAGGGAGCUUGACUGCGAGACCUACAAGUCGAGCAGGGUCGAAAGACGGACUUAGUGAUCCGGUGGUUCCGCAUGGAAGGGCCAUCGCUCAACGGAUAAAAGCUACCCCGGGGAUAACAGGCUUAUCUCCCCCAAGAGUUCACAUCGACGGGGAGGUUUGGCACCUCGAUGUCGGCUCAUCGCAUCCUGGGGCUGUAGUCGGUCCCAAGGGUUGGGCUGUUCGCCCAUUAAAGCGGUACGCGAGCUGGGUUCAGAACGUCGUGAGACAGUUCGGUCCCUAUCCGUCGUGGGCGUAGGAAAUUUGAGAGGAGCUGUCCUUAGUACGAGAGGACCGGGAUGGACAUACCUCUGGUGUACCAGUUGUCGUGCCAACGGCAUAGCUGGGUAGCUAUGUGUGGACGGGAUAAGUGCUGAAAGCAUCUAAGCAUGAAGCCCCCCUCAAGAUGAGAUUUCCCAACUUCGGUUAUAAGAUCCCUCAAAGAUGAUGAGGUUAAUAGGUUCGAGGUGGAAGCAUGGUGACAUGUGGAGCUGACGAAUACUAA
This 1415-nucleotide ribosomal RNA is filed under the name Staphylococcus aureus. Its description in RNAcentral is "partial 23S ribosomal RNA". It matches the Rfam family "Bacterial large subunit ribosomal RNA", at positions 1489 to 2904 of the family's 2925-position model. The record is from RNAcentral. Lineage: Bacteria; Bacillati; Bacillota; Bacilli; Caryophanales; Staphylococcaceae.